This 353-nucleotide ribosomal RNA is filed under the name uncultured bacterium. Its description in RNAcentral is "bacterial SSU rRNA". It matches the Rfam family "Bacterial small subunit ribosomal RNA", at positions 917 to 1271 of the family's 1533-position model. The record is from RNAcentral.
GGGCCCGCACAAGCGGUGGAGUAUGUGGUUUAAUUCGAUGCAACGCGAAGAACCUUACCAGGGUUUGACAUCCUGCGAAUCUCUUGGAAACAGGAGAGUGCCUUCGGGAACGCAGUGACAGGUGGUGCAUGGCUGUCGUCAGCUCGUGUCGUGAGAUGUUGGGUUAAGUCCCGCAACGAGCGCAACCCACGUCUUUAGUUGCCAGCAUUUAGUUGGGCACUUUAAAAGAACUGCCAGUGAUAAGCUGGAGGAAGGUGGGGAUGACGUCAAGUCCUCAUGGCCCUUAUGUGUUGGGCUACACACGUGCUACAAUGGUGGAGACAGAGAGUUGCCAACCCGCGAGGGUGAGCUAA